CGAUGCCUCUAGCCGAUCUGAUUGGGUAUUUUGCCUGGUAGGGAGCUUCCCGGAAACGAAAGUCUUUCGGUUCCUGGGGUAGUAUGGUUGCAAAGCUGAAACUUAAAGAAAUUGACGGAAGGGCACCACCAGGAGUGGAGCCUGCGGCUUAAUUUGACUCAACACGGGAAAACUCACCCGGCCCGGACACUGUUAGGAUUGACAGAUUGAAAGCUCUUUCUCGAUUCGGUGGUUGGUGGUGCAUGGCCGUUCUUAGUUGGUGGAGCGAUUUGUCUGGUUUAUUCCGAUAACGAGCGAGACUCUAGCCUGCUAAAUAGUGUGCAGAUACCAUAGGUCUGUACUUACUUCUUAGAGGGAUAAGCGGCGUUAUAGCCGCACGAGAUUGAGCGAUAACAGGUCUGUGAUGCCCUUAGAUGUCCGGGGCUGCACGCGCGCUACACUGGAAGAAUCAGCGGGCUCUUCCAUCCUCGAAAGGGGUUGGUAAACCGUUGAAACUCUUCCGUGACCGGGAUAGGGAAUUGUAAUUAUUUCCCUGAACGAGGAAUUCCUAGUAAGUGGAGUCACACCUCCACGG
This 574-nucleotide ribosomal RNA is filed under the name Mesorhabditis sp. NK2011_4. RNAcentral describes it as "SSU rRNA". It matches the Rfam family "Eukaryotic small subunit ribosomal RNA", at positions 1037 to 1643 of the family's 1831-position model. Lineage: Eukaryota; Metazoa; Nematoda; Chromadorea; Rhabditida; Rhabditidae. The record is from RNAcentral.